Podarcis lilfordi (Lilford's wall lizard) is the source of this 161-nucleotide non-coding RNA. The record is from the annotation of a GenBank genome assembly. NCBI's taxonomy places the organism in Eukaryota, Metazoa, Chordata, Lepidosauria, Squamata, Lacertidae.
UGUCCAGUAGCACCUUAGAGAGUAACUAAGUUUGUUUUGGGUAUAAGCUCUCGUGCGCAUGCACACUUCUUCAGACACACUUCUUCAGGUAUUUUGUGUGCACGCACACGAAAGCUUACACCCAGAACAAACUUAGUUGGUCUCUAAGGUGCUACUGGACA